GGACGGGUGAGUAAUGUCUGGGAAACUGCCUGAUGGAGGGGGACAACUACUGGAAACGGUAGCUAAUACCGCAUAACGUCGCAAGACCAAAGAGGGGGACCUUCGGGCCUCUUGCCAUCGGAUGUGCCCAGAUGGGAUUAGCUAGUAGGUGGGGUAACGGCUCACCUAGGCGACGAUCCCUAGCUGGUCUGAGAGGAUGACCAGCCACACUGGAACUGAGACACGGUCCAGACUCCUACGGGAGGCAGCAUG
RNAcentral lists this ribosomal RNA (252 nucleotides) under uncultured bacterium. RNAcentral's name for it is "partial 16S ribosomal RNA". It matches the Rfam family "Bacterial small subunit ribosomal RNA", at positions 100 to 353 of the family's 1533-position model. The record is from RNAcentral.